GCUAAUCUGGGAAUUCCGGAUACAGAAGGCUCCUCCUGGCCAAGUGGACUGUGGCUUUGGAGCCAGGAGACCCUGCUACUCACUAAAUGAACUUUUCUCAGGAAUCCA
RNAcentral lists this long non-coding RNA (108 nucleotides) under Fukomys damarensis (Damara mole-rat). Its description in RNAcentral is "lncRNA (ENSFDAG00000026473.1)". Lineage: Eukaryota; Metazoa; Chordata; Mammalia; Rodentia; Bathyergidae. The record is from RNAcentral.